This 433-nucleotide ribosomal RNA is filed under the name uncultured bacterium. RNAcentral describes it as "partial 16S ribosomal RNA". It matches the Rfam family "Bacterial small subunit ribosomal RNA", at positions 29 to 507 of the family's 1533-position model. The record is from RNAcentral.
AGCGAACGCUGGCGGCAGGCCUAACACAUGCAAGUCGAACGAACUCUUCGGAGUUAGUGGCGGACGGGUGAGUAACACGUGGGAACGUGCCCUUAGGUUCGGAAUAACUCAGGGAAACUUGUGCUAAUACCGAAUGUGCCCUUCGGGGGAAAGAUUUAUCGCCUUUAGAGCGGCCCGCGUCUGAUUAGCUAGUUGGUGAGGUAAAGGCCCACCAAGGCGACGAUCAGUAGCUGGUCUGAGAGGAUGAUCAGCCACAUUGGGACUGAGACACGGCCCAAACUCCUACGGGAGGCAGCAGUGGGGAAUCUUGCGCAAUGGGCGAAAGCCUGACGCAGCCAUGCCGCGUGAAUGAUGAAGGUCUUAGGAUUGUAAAAUUCUUUCACCGGGGACGAUAAUGACGGUACCCGGAGAAGAAGCCCCGGCUAACUUCGUG